Molecule: ribosomal RNA, 386 nt
Filed under: uncultured bacterium
Lineage: Bacteria
Description: bacterial SSU rRNA
Rfam family: Bacterial small subunit ribosomal RNA
Source: RNAcentral
AUUAAACGCUGGCGGCAUGCCUUACACAUGCAAGUCGAACGGCAGCACGGGGGCAACCCUGGUGGCGAGUGGCGGACGGGUGAGUAAUACAUCGGAACGUGCCCUGGAGUGGGGGAUAACGCAGCGAAAGCUACGCUAAUACCGCAUAUUCUGUGAGCAGGAAAGCAGGGGAUCGCAAGACCUUGCGCUUUGGGAGCGGCCGAUGUCGGAUUAGCUAGUUGGUGGGUAAAGGCCUACCAAGGCGACGAUCCGUAGCGGGUCUGAGAGGAUGAUCCGCCACACUGGGACUGAGACACGGCCCAGACUCCUACGGGAGGCAGCAGUGGGGAAUUUUGGACAAUGGGCGGAAGCCUGAUCCAGCCAUGCCGCGUGAGUGAAGAAGGCCU